UUGAUAUAGGUGUUGAUUUAA
This 21-nucleotide unclassified non-coding RNA is filed under the name Mus musculus (house mouse). Its description in RNAcentral is "oocyte_clustered_small_RNA1778". Lineage: Eukaryota; Metazoa; Chordata; Mammalia; Rodentia; Muridae. The record is from RNAcentral.